UCGGCCUCCGGGCCGCGGGAGCGCUUCCCGCUGGAGGAGGGCGGGCGGCCGGCCGCCGGGGCGGACGGCGAGCGGUUCCUCCCGCCGGAGCUGGGC
Molecule: transfer RNA, 96 nt
Filed under: Paraplanobispora siamensis
Lineage: Bacteria; Bacillati; Actinomycetota; Actinomycetes; Streptosporangiales; Streptosporangiaceae
Description: Planobispora siamensis tRNA-Pro
Source: RNAcentral